Molecule: ribosomal RNA, 235 nt
Filed under: uncultured bacterium
Lineage: Bacteria
Description: partial 16S ribosomal RNA
Rfam family: Bacterial small subunit ribosomal RNA
Source: RNAcentral
UGGCGGACGGGUGAGUAAUGUCUGGGAAACUGCCCGAUGGAGGGGGAUAACUACUGGAAACGGUAGCUAAUACCGCAUAACGUCGCAAGACCAAAGAGGGGGACCUUCGGGCCUCGCGCCAUCAGAUGAACCCAUAUGGGAUUAGCUAGUAGGUAAGGUAACGGCUUACCUAGGCGACGAUCCCUAGCUGGUCUGAGAGGAUGAUCAGCCACACUGGGACUGAGACACGGCCCAG